Molecule: non-coding RNA, 26 nt
Filed under: Homo sapiens (human)
Lineage: Eukaryota; Metazoa; Chordata; Mammalia; Primates; Hominidae
Source: RNAcentral
UAGAUAACUAAUACAGGAGAGGUUCC